UCGAAUCGAGUUUAGUCUAUAAUAUUAGUCCCUGGAAGAGGGCUACCUAUCAUGCAACUUAUAGAGUUGCGUACAGUGGUGGGGUUGUAAACAGUAAGUACAACAUAUUGUUUUUACCAUAGUGGACAACGGGUAUUACAUUUUAUUUUUGUGGAGCUAGCCAAUCUUCGAAUCGAGUUUAGUCUAUAAUAUUAGUCCCUGGAAGAGGGCUACCUAUCAUGCAACUUAUAGAGUUGCGUACAGUGGUGGGGUUGUAAACAGUAAGUACAACAUAUUGUUUUUACCAUAGUGGACAACGGGUAUUACAUUUUAUUUUUGUGGAGCUAGCCAAUCUUCGAAUCGAGUUUAGUCUAUAAUAUUAGUCCCUGGAAGAGGGCUACCUAUCAUGCAACUUAUAGAGUUGCGUACAGUGGUGGGGUUGUAAACAGUAAGUACAACAUAUUGUUUUUACCAUAGUGGACAACGGGUAUUACAUUUUAUUUUUGUGGAGCUAGCCAAUUUUCGAAUCGAGUUGAAAAGUUUUUAAGAUAGAAAUGUGGAGCGGAAGGUCAUAUACAAUUUUCAGAUCAAAUUUUCUGCCUCUUUCGUUCCUCAGCCUACGAAAAAUAACACUUCUUUGCGAAAUCACGUUUAACUAAAUGCGCAAUGAUUUUGUAAUUUAGUGUACCAUAUGAAAGAGACGGGCUGGAUCAAGGUAUCACAGAAUGAUGUUGGUGAACUGCAUUACAAAUAUCAAGACGAGAAAAAGAGAUAAAAACUCUGUAAGAAUAGUUUGUACUGUAGUUUGUACUGUUGCUAGGGGUUUGUGUCAAAAUUUAGUCAUUAAAGUUUAAAAAUUUGUGAGAAU
RNAcentral lists this long non-coding RNA (847 nucleotides) under Paramuricea clavata. Lineage: Eukaryota; Metazoa; Cnidaria; Anthozoa; Malacalcyonacea; Plexauridae. The record is from RNAcentral.